Molecule: long non-coding RNA, 1396 nt
Organism: Bombyx mori (domestic silkworm)
Lineage: Eukaryota; Metazoa; Arthropoda; Insecta; Lepidoptera; Bombycidae
Exons: 2
Source: RefSeq, a predicted model, not a curated record
AUUUACGUUUUUAGUUCCGCUGAUUCGCGCGCUUACCCGAUAAUUCAGUGAGCACAUUCGCUGAAAACUAACCGAAAUCUACGAAUUAAAACGGUACCCCUCCGCGUUCCGUGAGGCUGAGGAGCGCGAAAGGGAGUGGGAUCCCUCUUCGGCUUCACAACGAAGAAGGCGGAGUGGGCGGCACGGGCGCGAAGCUCCUGUUCAUCUCCCGUAGGGGCUGUCGGGUGCCGGGUGCGGGGGUGCCCGGUACUCGGCUGUUGGUCCGGUGGUGAGGCGGCGCAAGGUGGCUCCUGUGCACCGCUCACGGUGUGUCUCCGAGACGACGUCCUGCGGGAUUUUCCCGGGGAUGGAGUGCCGUCCUAUUAACAGGAUGGGUACCGGCGACGGCGAGCCUUCGGCGCGCACUGUGCGGUACCGUGGGUUUCGUGGAGUCGGAGUGGUGGGGCUCGAUGGGGUUUAGUCGGUAGUCGUUCUGCGGGGCAAGUGCUUCGCGCGCCUUUUUCAAGGCGUAGUCUCCUGUGAGAAAUUGGGGGAGGUGAAGGACCUCGGCUCUUCUCUUCUCCCCUUCUUUCUCUCAGGAGGCGCCGGAGUCCGACAUAACCCAGUCCGUUACCCCCCUUGACCGGGUAUCCGUAAAUGGAUUCCCCAGCGUUAAAAAAAAAAAAAAAAAAGGGUACCCCUCCGCAUCGUCCCAUAAGGAACUUCGUUCAAAAAAAAAAACCUUAUUCAUGUGUGUUAUGAAGAUUUUUCUAUCGUUUCGAUUUAUUAUGUGUGUUAAACAAGUUUAUUUGACAUGAUGUGCACGUAGUUUCGUCUUUUCGACAUCCAAAAUUAGGUCCGCCAGUGUAUCCCUCACAAACAAAGUAAGAGAGAUGUUAAUUUAAUGUACGACAGUGUCACUCGAAGCGGCCCACAGUGCCGACUUUCAAAGGACCAGGUCAGCCACGGAUUCUCUAUUAUGUAAAUUUUCGCGCAAUUUUCUCGUUGGGAGUGCGCCGGUCCGACUUUGUAACAAGAGCGGCCUCUCAUUAAUACUUACCUGAGUUCAUCAAUUUUCGAAGGACAUCACAAUUUUUUUCAUUGAAAUAAUACUAUGGCUUUUUUGCGUUUUUACAAUCAUUUUCUUAGCUAAACAUAAGCCGAUAGUAAUAAUUGCAGAAGAAUGUAAAUUUUCAGUGAUGACGAAAAUAGCAAAAUACGGAAGCGAAAUGUUUUGGAAUUUAUUUGUUUGCCUUACGUGUAAAAUUAGCACAAGAUUGAGCUGUCAUACUAUUUUUAGAUGUGUUUAUGACAACGUUUGACAACGUAAUCGAAUACAGUUUGUUGGAAGUAAGCAACAGUAGAUUGGAAAUGUUGAAAGUAAUCGGAAAAUAAAAUAUUAUUGAGAGUUUAUUUA